Long non-coding RNA from Oncorhynchus kisutch (coho salmon), 1117 nucleotides. RefSeq lists it as uncharacterized. The transcript has 3 exons. Lineage: Eukaryota; Metazoa; Chordata; Actinopteri; Salmoniformes; Salmonidae. The record is from RefSeq and is a predicted model, not a curated record.
GGAAGUAGUGCUAGUCAGCACCCGUAAACAAAACUACAUGAUGAACUUUGCCAGACAGACCGGCCUACGUCACUACUACAGCCGAAAGAGGCGGGCACUGCAGCAUGCCUAACCAAUGGAUUUUCCCUACGACCUGCCAAUCACACAUAUGACCGACCAACCAACCAACCCCAUUCCUUUCUCCUGAUGCCAUAUCACCCUGUCAAGUCCUGCCCUCCAGCCAAUGGAUUCCAGUCAGCCUUAGACCACCCCCCCCCCCCCCCCCCUCACUCUGCCAGAAAACAUGGACCAUCCCAUCAGUUUACGCUGCAACCAAUCAGAAGCCUUCCCCACCCCCCAUUGUGACUGGAAGGAAGGAGAAGGAGCAACAAAGGCGGACAUUUUGUUUACUUUUAAUGGACUUCCGGGUUUCUAGUUGUUUUCUAAUCGUUGCCGUAGGUGGUUAUUAUGAUAUGAUGAUUCCCUGUUCCAGUUGCGAUACGAUGAUGAUAGUACCCACCCUCGGAUUUCCCCUUAUCACCCCAUCCUACCCACUUAGUCCUACUACUACCACACUGUGAAAUCAUUAAGAGAAAUAUCACUGAUGACCAGUGACAUAGAGUUGGAUAGAAGGCACACAGUCACAGAAGCGAUAAUGGCAAAGCUAGGGGGGGUGGGGGUGUGGGGUGAGCCCUGUUUCCAACUCUAUGCCAGGUUGCUGGGGUGUAUUCAUUAGUCCGAUUCCGUUGCAAAAAUGUUUUACAACAAAAAACAUUUACUAUUUCCUUUAGGAACCAAACGGAAAGAAGCGGAGCAAACAGAAUGAAAAUGGAGAGAGAAGCUGACUGAAUCUGUCCAAUAGAAACUCUUUUGGAGUAAACGGUUUCCAUUUUAAAACCUUUUUGCAACAGAAUCUGACUAAUGAAUAUACCCCUGGGCUAGUUGGCAGAGCCCGGAAGGAGAGGGGAACACUCCUCCGCCUGCACCAGUAUCUAGGAGGAAGAUCAUUACAGUGAAAAUAGUACUGUGUUCUUGCUGUCCUGUGGGUUAUUUCCGUGAUGAGUCGACUGUGUUUCAUUUCAAUUUGUUUUUUGUUUUUUUACUAAUUCACAUUGCGUAAUUUUUCGGUUGGAUGAGU